ACAUUAUUGCGAGUACUUCUCAUCAUUAU
Molecule: small RNA, 29 nt
Filed under: Fragilariopsis kerguelensis
Lineage: Eukaryota; Bacillariophyta; Bacillariophyceae; Bacillariales; Bacillariaceae
Description: partial Mitochondrion-encoded tmRNA
Source: RNAcentral